RNAcentral lists this ribosomal RNA (693 nucleotides) under Xanthoparmelia subdiffluens. RNAcentral's name for it is "SSU rRNA". It matches the Rfam family "Bacterial small subunit ribosomal RNA", at positions 376 to 1201 of the family's 1533-position model. The record is from RNAcentral. Lineage: Eukaryota; Fungi; Ascomycota; Lecanoromycetes; Lecanorales; Parmeliaceae.
CAAUAGCUACUUGCAUCAUAGUAGAUAUGAUGCAAGAUCGACUAUGUUGAAUAAAAUUCUAGGUAGAAUUAUGAUAAUGACAUUGUCUGCCUAUGUGUCUUGACCAAAUUACGUGCCAGCAGUCGCGGUAAUACGUAGAAGACUAGUGUUAUUCAUGUUUAAUCGGUUUAAAGGGUACCUAGACGGUAGAUCAAGCUUUCUAAUAAAGGAAAAGGACUAAUUUACUAGAGUUACUUAUGAGGGGGUAUUAAAGUACUGCUGGUGUAGAGAUGAAAUUCUGUCAUACCUCUUUUCAAAAGAAAAACCAUGGCACAGGUAUAGGCGAAGGCAUCCCCUUAUGUGAUAACUGACGUUGAGGGACGAAGGCUUUGUGUAGCGAACAGGAUUAGAUACCCCAGUAGUCGAAGCAGAAAAUGAUGAAUGUCAUAGAUUAGAUAUAUAAGUUUAUUCUAUAAAUGAAAGUGUAAGCAUUCCACCUCAUGAGUAAUUUGGCAACAUUGGAACUGAAAUCAUUAGACCGUUUCUGAAACCAGUAGUGAAGUAUGUUGUUUAAUUUGAUGAUCCGCAAAAAACCUUACCACAAUUUGAAUAUUUAUAUUGUUUAUUGUUUUAUUAUUAAUUUUCUUGAACGUAAAAGAAAAGAGAGAUGUAGGAUAAUAGUAAGAAAAUUAAUAAAGAAGCAAUAAGAUAUAU